Molecule: ribosomal RNA, 388 nt
Filed under: uncultured bacterium
Lineage: Bacteria
Description: bacterial SSU rRNA
Rfam family: Bacterial small subunit ribosomal RNA
Source: RNAcentral
AUUGAACGCUGGCGGCAUGCCUUACACAUGCAAGUCGAACGGUAACGGGCCUUCGGGUGCCGACGAGUGGCGAACGGGUGAGUAAUGCAUCGGAACGUACCUUUCAGUGGGGGAUAACGUAGCGAAAGUUACGCUAAUACCGCAUAUUCUGUGAGCAGGAAAGCAGGGGAUCGCAAGACCUUGCGCUGAUUGAGCGGCCGAUGUCAGAUUAGCUAGUUGGUGAGGUAAAGGCUCACCAAGGCGACGAUCUGUAGCGGGUCUGAGAGGAUGAUCCGCCACACUGGAACUGAGACACGGUCCAGACUCCUACGGGAGGCAGCAGUGGGGAAUUUUGGGACAAUGGGGGGCAACCCUGAUCCAGCCAUGCCGCGUGAGUGAAGAAGGCCUU